This 746-nucleotide ribosomal RNA is filed under the name Micromonospora sp. RNAcentral describes it as "bacterial SSU rRNA". It matches the Rfam family "Bacterial small subunit ribosomal RNA", at positions 75 to 836 of the family's 1533-position model. The record is from RNAcentral. Lineage: Bacteria; Bacillati; Actinomycetota; Actinomycetes; Micromonosporales; Micromonosporaceae.
GCCCUUCGGGGUACUCGAGCGGCGAACGGGUGAGUAACACGUGAGCAACCUGCCCCAAGCUUUGGGAUAACCCCGGGAAACCGGGGCUAAUACCGAAUAGGACCUGGCCUCGCAUGAGGUUGGGUGGAAAGUUUUUCGGCUUGGGAUGGGCUCGCGGCCUAUCAGCUUGUUGGUGGGGUGAUGGCCUACCAAGGCGACGACGGGUAGCCGGCCUGAGAGGGCGACCGGCCACACUGGGACUGAGACACGGCCCAGACUCCUACGGGAGGCAGCAGUGGGGAAUAUUGCACAAUGGGCGGAAGCCUGAUGCAGCGACGCCGCGUGAGGGAUGACGGCCUUCGGGUUGUAAACCUCUUUCAGCAGGGACGAAGCGAGAGUGACGGUACCUGCAGAAGAAGCACCGGCCAACUACGUGCCAGCAGCCGCGGUAAGACGUAGGGUGCGAGCGUUGUCCGGAUUUAUUGGGCGUAAAGAGCUCGUAGGCGGCUUGUCGCGUCGACUGUGAAAACCCGCAGCUCAACUGCGGGCCUGCAGUCGAUACGGGCAGGCUAGAGUUCGGUAGGGGAGACUGGAAUUCCUGGUGUAGCGGUGAAAUGCGCAGAUAUCAGGAGGAACACCGAUGGCGAAGGCAGGUCUCUGGGCCGAUACUGACGCUGAGGAGCGAAAGCGUGGGGAGCGAACAGGAUUAGAUACCCUGGUAGUCCACGCUGUAAACGUUGGGCGCUAGGUGUGGGGGGCCUCUCCGG